RNA transcript from Bombus huntii, 8234 nucleotides. RefSeq lists it as uncharacterized. The record is from RefSeq and is a predicted model, not a curated record. The transcript has 7 exons. NCBI's taxonomy places the organism in Eukaryota, Metazoa, Arthropoda, Insecta, Hymenoptera, Apidae.
GCAGAUAUACGUGCAAUUACCCUGUCAACAGUGCUUAAAAUCUCUUCUGGUGCUCGUGGCGUUGCUCCGCAAACGGUGAUCGAUAACGUUCGCCGACCGAUACGGCAUCGAUCGUAUUUUCUGUUCGCGCGUUACACUGCUGCGAGAAAGAGUUUGGAUCUCGCGUGUCGCGGCCACGUGAAGGAAAAAUUAAACGUCCCUCCGUCUCGCGGUUCACGGCGAUUCGAAUCGCCGCUGUCGCCACCGCCGCGAUCCUCCGGCAGCGUAGUUUUGCGAUCAGUCGCUACCGCACGCUGCGCACGGUGAGUUUGACGUUUCGUUUCGGAGACAACGUGUAGUGACGGGUUUCGUUCGGGCAAAAACGGUGGCGUUCACCGUCCACUUUGUGUACCAUGACUAUCUCAUGAGACCGCUAUAAAUCAAUUGUCAGUUUAUAACGUACAUUGAUGCGUUGCCAAAGAUUCUCCACACUUUCCAUGUUUUCGUAAUCAACGUAACGGAAACAUAAAUACGCGAGUGGUGUGCUAGUGUGAACAAAAAGACUAGUGAUCGAGACAAAAAAAAGAGGGGUUAUCCGCGGAUUCGAGAUGACUCGCCACCUGUGGCUAAAAGCAGCAUUCGCUUUCUUCGUGAUAUCAGGUGCGAGCUGCCUGCGGGAUGUCAGCCUAGAAGUAGUUCCGGAGGUAGUGCAACGUGGUCAGAAGGUGAUUCUGCGCUGCCAUUACGAUCUCGAGGAGGCUCCUCUUUACUCCCUCAAGUGGUACCGUGGCAGGCACGAGUUCUACCGUUACACACCAAGCGAGGAACCGGCUACCAAAGUCUUCAACAUUACCGGAAUUUACGUUGACCACGAGAACUCGAACAAGAGCCAGGUAACGCUCCGCGACGUCGACUUCGCUCUCUCGGGUAUGUUCAGUUGCGAAGUUACAGCGGACGCGCCGACUUUCACCACCGCCUACGUCUCCAAGAAUCUUACGGUAGUGUUUCUACCCGAAGGCACGCCCAUUAUCGUAUCGGAACGCGAACGUUACGAUGCCGGAGACACUUUGAGGGCAAAUUGUAGCUUACCACCCUCCAAACCACCGGCUCAUCUCUCAUUCACUCUGAACAACGUGGCGGUGGAGUCGUACACGAAUCAUCAGCCACAGCCGUAUCCACAGCAGAGGUGGGAUCGUAACGACGCUUCUUCGCCCCAUACCGAUCAGACAGAGAAUCUUCAGUGGAUCGAGAUCAGGGUGAAUCUUCAACCGUUCCAUUUCUCGAACGGCCAGUUGAAUUUACGAUGCAGCGCCCAGAUUCCAGGCAUAUAUUCGGCGAUAAGCGAGGUGCAGCUCGGUGCUGGACUGCGUGAACCUGUGCCAGAGAGGGUGACCUCGGAGAACGGAAGCGAAGCUCCUACGGCCAUCUAUUUGACGAUGCUGAUGCUGUGUAUGCUCCAGCUGUUCCUGAGAUAGUCACGAUACGCCUGAGGCCACGGAAAGGGAGUCCAUGGGCGCCGCACCAUAAACAGCGCACUAGUCAAAAGGAGGAGCAGAAGGAAAGGAAAAGACAGCAGUUUAAGGGCUGACCGAAUCGGUGGCGGGAAACCAAAUAAUAAUAUUGUUGAAUCGGCAUUGGUAUCACGUGUUUUUUAGCGUAUUCGGUUCGGUUUCGUUCAAAGAGGAAUCGAAUACCAUCGCUUUCAUUGUUACAUUCUACGUCGUAUGUCCCCGAUUAAAAAUCGUUCAUCGAGAUCGUGACGAUGCAGGACACUACACGGUUUAUUGAUACGCUUAUCUCGACUUAUCGGAUAAUACCAUCGCGAUUUAUUCGAGAGCGACGCGACGUCGUGAACCGGUUCUCGAUUCGAAGUAUCAUAGAGAAGGGCUGAUAUUCAAUUUAAUAGCACAGAAUGAGAUCAGUAAUUUUCGGUUUUCAAUGUAUCGAUACUAUUUUUUUUUUAUAUAUUUAAUGUAUCGAUAUUAGGAUUACAUCAGCGAUUUACUGAUAAGCACCAUUUUGUAAAGAAAAGUAUGAUAUAUAGAAUCUAGUAUCGAAGGAACGAUAGGAGUUUAUGAGAAUUUUAUUAUCAUUUGAUGAAAGUGAAAAUAAUAUUAGAAGAAGUUAUUGGAUACAUAAAAGUCUGCAAUUAAAGUCAGUUUAGUCCUGAACUGCAAAUAUCCAUAUUUUUGUCAUUCAUAAAUUCCUCGUUAGAUUAUAAUCAUGAAAUAAAAAUUCAGAAUUUUAAAGAUCACUAAUUUGUACAGUCAAACUCCAUUUAUCCCAGCUCAUUAGGCAACAUCAUAAUUGAUACAAUAUUUCCCAUUUAUAAUUUGUCAUUCCUAUAAUAAUAAUUCAUUUUUCCUCCAAUUCCCACCAGAUAAAGUUCCGUUCGAAUAAAUAAAACCGCUAUACCUUUAUAGUUAAGGAUUACAUUUAACGUAUAUAUAAUAUGAAUAUAAGUACAUCAAGAUUAGUCUAAUAUCACAUACCGUGCUAUUAAAUGGACAACAGCCUUAACACACGCACGAGCUCCUCGUAAUGAAAAGACAGUUAUAAUGUAAUACGUGUUCGAUCGACAAAUGCUCAAACAAAUUCCGCGUCCGAUAAGUAACGAAAAACCAAUUGAUCGUUCGAGGACAAGGUCGAGAGUGGCUUUAAAGUGAAAAUCUUUUGCUUGCGUAUCGCGUUUCCGCUUCAAAGGAUCCCUGUCACAGAUAUUCUAUUCCGGUUUCCAUCACGAACGUUGCAAAAAGAACACGUAAUUGACGACGAGACAUAGAGAGCCUGAUUGGUGAAAUAUAAGGUUCCAAACAAGGUAUAGUGGUACAGGAAAAUAUUUGAACACUUAUAGAAACCUUUUAUAAAUAUGUUGUAUGCAUUGUGUAAAACGAUUUGAAAUUUCAUUAGUACUAUAUUGAGACACGAAUGUCAUUAUUAUAGUGAGUAAGAAAACAAUUUACAAAAUAUAUGUAGAAGUUACAAUACAUUUGCUGUAAAAAUAUAUAGGGUGGUUGGUAAUUGGUGGUACAAGCGGAAAGGGGGUGAUUCUACGCGAAAAAAGAAGUUGAAAAUAUAGAAUAAAAAUUUUUUUUUAAUUUUUUUUUUAAUUUUUCCAUAACGAUAACGAUCUAUAGUGAAAUCCUUUAUAACCCUCAAACGAAAAAUUUUUAUUCUAUAUUUUCGAUUUCCUUUUUCGCGUAGAAUCACCCCCUUUCUGCUUGUACCACCAGUUACUAACCACCCUGUAUUUAGUUAAAAAUUAGUAUAUAGCAUGAAUAGUCACCUUCGAAACAUAAUAAGUGUUAAAGAUGAUAACUAAAUACCGAAGCUUGUUAAUAAAAUGGAUAAUUGACUAUUUAAAUACUUUUGUGGACUUCGCAAAACAUAUAUUUACACUAAUUAUCUUGUAUCUUCUACGUAAAUUUUUUCAUUUGUUCCUAACUUUUCCAAUAUAAUUAUGACAGCCGUGUCUCACUAUAGUACUAAUAAAAUUUCGAAACGUUUCGUACGACACACAUAAUUCACGUAAUUUACAUAAUUCACGCGUAUUCAUAAAAGGAUUCUACAAUUUAUCGAAUACUUUUAUGAACCACUGUAGAAAUGGUGUUCAAGCACUACAUCAUCCUAUUUCGUCCUUCGAUGAGGGAGGACAGACACGAUCGAAUGUCCUGCCAUUAUUCCACCUAAAGAUGCGUGUCAUGCCGCGCUCUACGUCAUUCUAUCGUGUUUAUUGAACCAUUGUCCGUAGACCAGGUGAAGGACCGGAGAUGGAUGCUAUGAUUUUGAUGCGAAGGACUAGUCAAGUGGCGCUCGCCAGACUCCUAACUUUUCCUUUCCCUCUUCUCUCUUGCGUGUCCCACGUAGCACAGAAAAAUGCCACCUACCUUCGUUUCACGUCGUAACCAUGCUUCCAUGCGAAAAUAUUCGCAGUACAAGGUAUUCACGAGAGGAACACGCGCGUACAAUUACACACAUGUUUGUUGAUAUCGUGCAAUGUGUGUAUGUGUGAGAGAGAGAGAGGUAUUUUGGGUAAUGUGUAAUAAUCGAGGUUAAUUGAUGUGGUACAGGGAGCUAGGUCUUAGUUUGAUUUAUUUCUGGGAAUAUUUUAUGUGAUGUUAUUGAUUUGUUAUAUGGAUUGAUUGAAAAUUGCAUUUUGGAUACAUUGGAGAAGGUCUGUGUUAAUUGUUUUACAGUUUAUAAUAGUACUUUAUACUUAAAUACUUUGAUUUCUCGAUGAAUUGUGAGAAUAAAAUUUCAUGUUAUACGAUUAAAGGACCUGAUUAAGGGAUCUGUUACAAAUGUUAUAAGAGACAAUUACAAAUAUUAUACAGAUGUGUUAGGAAUAGCCGGCGAUAAGUAACUCAGAACUACAAAUUUUUAAAUACAACAUAAAAAUUAUUAAUAAAAGAUGUUAAAGUGAUUAAAAUUAUUUCAAGCUUCUAGAAAUAGAAAUACGUUCUGUUUAAGAAAAAUACAGGAUUCUCUUUUGCGUCUAAUAUCUAGUGUUGAUUUUACAUUUUCGCUUUUGGAUAGCGAAAUGUAGGAGAAAUAUAUAUUUGUUUAUAGAAUGCCUAUCAUUCUUCUUAAAUUAAAAUUUUGUUACGUUCAAAAUAUCUUCUCCCUUUAUCUUUCUAGUAUCUUUUAAUCGCUAAUCUUAAUAUUAAUAUUCGGUAUUUUAAGGGGAAAUUAUAUUUCGUUUAAAAAAACAUCAUUUUCUAUGUUCAUUAGUAUAAUAUUUCUUCCUGCCAAGCAAUAUAUAUUUACAUCUAUUUCCAAUUUUUGCCUUCAAAAAAAUUUCCAAUCAAUCUAUAUAUCGUUAUUGUCAAGCGCGAAAUAAAGCGGUUUUUACAAAUAUUGUAAGAUCUCACUAAUAUUUGCGAUUUACGCUAUAAAUAUUUCUUCAAUUUUAACAGGGAAGCGAAUAUACCAAAUGAUAAAGUUACUUAAAAUCCUGUAUAAUACUAGAUAUAGAACAUAGAAACUAACGAACAAAAGAUAAUUAAACGAAACAAAAGCGUAAUUAUAAAUCAUACUGAAAGUUGCGUCAAGUAUCGCGUAAUGGUUAUACCAAACGAAGAAUUGUUACAAUAUGGAAUGGACCGUGAGACAAGGUUUGAAAAGUAGCCCAAAAAGCGCAAUAUUUUUUUAUAUACCUUUCGGUGCGUUUGCUCGAAUAUUUUCCGCUUGCCAACGUAUAAGUUGUAUCAACAAUCAAGAGCUUUCGUUUCAUGCAAAAUGUUUCGCAAAAUACGGAUAUUUGAAUAUACAGUGACUCUCAAAAAUAUUUGAACACUUAUUAUGGAAAACUUUAUGUGUAUAAAACAUUUUGAUACUUCAUUGACACGAUGAUAAGACGCGAUUGCUAUGAUUAUAUUACUAAACUUUGAAACCGAUCUGAAAAUGUAUAUAGAAGCUACAAGAUAUUUAUUAUGAACAUAUAUUCAAUAAAAAAAAUUAGCAUACAGCAUGAAUAGCUAACUCGAACGUGCAAUAAGUAUCAAAAAAAGAUAGUCCCAUUGAGUAUCAAGGCUUAUUAAUAUAAUGUGAACAAAUGACUGUUUAAACACUUUAGUGGCGUUUGCUAAUGAAAUUUUAAAAUGUUUCGUGCAACGCACAUGGAAUAUUCAUAGAUGUCUACAAGUGUUUCAAUAGUUUUCGAGUCACCGUAUCUGGUUAAGAAGGGCCGGAUCGAUAAUUUGAUUGUAGAAAAGGAAGCGGAAUUUCAAGGCUGAAGUAGAGACACAACCCCCUCCCACAUGUCUCCUUUUUAUUAAAGAAAGUCUAAAAUUGCUGAAGGAUUCCAUGCGUCUGUAAAGCGUCCACGUGCCGCGUGUUUCUCCAGUUUGCGGAUAGGAAAAUCGUUCGUGUUAUUCCAUAGACAUAGAAAACGCUCCUUUUUACCUACGUGCAUAUGUAACCAGGCCGGAUCUUCGGCAAACUCCACCAAGCAUUUACGCAGGAUGUCGAUGUAAAAAGGAGAACCGGUAUAUACAAGGAUAAGGCGAAAGAGAGUUUUUUAUUCUUCGAGAGCAAAUGUAUUGACAACAGCCAAAGCUACGCGUAUGUAGUGUCAAGCAAGAUGAAUUGACGUUAAGCAUGUAAAUUCUCAACUGUAUAUAAAGCAUUGGAAGAAUGUAGCGCAGUCGACAAAGGUAUCGUGAAAAUUGAUGGCAGGGGUACGCGUCAAAAUUUUUCAUAGAGAAAAUAUACUUGCGUUUUCUUAGAAAUUUCCAUAGAUGAUCACGAUUUUAAUAACUUUUGGAAAUUUUUGGUUCGAAAGUCGCAGAGGAAUAUGUGUAAUCGUAUACUGUGUUUCGUAAGUAUAAAAUCACCUAAAGACCUUCAACUUUUAUAUCGUCCUCUGGUGGUAACGUAAUAAGGUAACGAAACGUACUAUGUUUGAAAUCGUACUGAAAAAUAAUGUAAUUUUUUCUCCAGGGAAAGGUACAUUACGUCUCUCUGUAAAGGAAAAUGAUUAUUUCACUGGAAAACUAGGUUAUUCUCGUUUUAUAAGUAUAGAACCAAAAAAAAAAAAAAAAAAAUAUUGAAGUCAAGAUACCAGACACAUAAAAUGAAAUUGUAACAUUGUUAGUAAGUAUGGAUACCUCUCCAUAUCCAAUAAGUGUUAUUGUUCGAUUUUGAACACUUCUUGUCAGAUCUUGUCGUAUUGUACCUUAUACUUUAUACACAUAUAGGAAUCGAAGAAUUGGCAAUACUGAAAUGGUUUUACAAAUCAUUUGUUAUGAGUCACAGUAUAGAUGGAGCAUCUAUUUUUUAGCGACUUGUAUAGCGAAAAAUUUACUUGUUUCGCUUGUUUUAUCAGGAGAAAAAGGUUAGUCGCCGGAUAGAGCGGAUUGCGAGUGAAAUACAUCGGAUAAAAUGAUCCUUUUUAUAUUAACCGACAACGCGGCGUUGUGCUUACACCGUGCGCCAUUUCAUAAAUUCUGUUCUCGUUUGUACACAAUUGUAUCUUUCGUCUACCGGCCGUAUCCCCGGUACCGGUCGGGGGUUACAAACGUACACGACUCUGUAUAGGGUUUCCGGUAGAUCCCAGUGUAAACUUAACUGGUAGAUAUUUUUCCGUGUGCAAGAACACGGUUGGAAAAAAGUGAAGAAUAAAUUUUUGUAAGUGUACAUGCGGCUUUCGAAAGAGAUGACGGCGAACGCGAAGCAACUAUGAAUUUAACGGAAACAAUGGAUAAAAUUUGUAGAAUAGAUAUACCAGAAAAAUACUCCGAUGUACGUUCAGCUUACGAAGAAGUAAUGCUACAAUGUUGUAACGAAUAGCUGCCAUGUUACAUAUUUGAAACGAAAAGUGAAACUUUACAUUGUAAAAUUUCGUUGGAAAUAUCAUUUAUACUGAACAAAAAAAAGAGAAGAGAAAAAUCAAAUACUCGCGUUUGACAUUCAAUCAACGUCUUAAAAUACCAAAGAGAUAUUUGUUUUUGCAUUUUUAUUACGUAAAACGCGUUAUUUUUUCUUUUCCUUUUUUUUAGCGUAAAAAAUUACUUUAACAUGGUUGUAUGUAUUAUAAGGAAGAAAGAUCUAACGGUUUCGAUUAAAACUGCCAUUAUUCAUAACCUGAAUGAUAUAUUUCCAGUGAAGAAGUUAACGCAUUUCGUAUUGUAUCUAUUAUUUCCGAAAUUUGCUUAAUCGUCGAUGAAACUUCCUGUAUUUCCAUUUAAAAGAUCUAGAAAAAUUUCCAGAAUUGAAAAAGUAUUUAAUAUUGAUAUAAAAAAGAUGUACUUUUAUCGAAAUCGGCGAUUAAGUGACAAUAAAAGAGAAACGCGAAUUGCGUUGACUUCACUCAACAACCAUUGUUACAAGUAAUAACUCCCUGUAUAAAUACACUACUGCUCGAAUGUAUUCGGACACUUGCUUAUUUUUAACACGACGUUUUAUGUAAUUAAAUUACAGAUCAAAAGUGCAGCUGAUUUUAUCUAUUAUGUUAUUAUUGUGACAGCUAUCUUAGAACAUUAUGAAACGAUAAAAUUGUAAAUUUGUCGUAAAUUGUACAUUUGUAAAAACUAAUAUGCGACAACAGAAUUGGUAUCUGUAAGUAUCAAACUUUAUAGACCGCUUUCGUUAUUUGAGAUGUUCUUUAUCUUUAAGUUGUUUAGUUAUUAAGCUAUAGACCGUAUAAAAGAGGUUCUUAAUUCACAUGGUAAUAUUUAAAAUUGGAUAUAUCGAUGAAUUGCAUAUUUAAUUUGAAUAAAUUGUUGCUAAAUUUUUAAAUAAAUAAUUUAAAUCUA